GAACGCGAAGAACCUUACCCGGGCUUGAACUGUGGCGGAACGAUUCGGAGACGAUGAGGCCCUUCGGGGCUGCCACGGAGGUGCUGCAUGGUUGUCGUCAGCUCGUGCCGUGAGGUGUCGGCUUAAGUGCCAUAACGAGCGCAACCCCUGUUUUCAGUUGCCAUCGGGUAAUGCCGGGCACUCUGGAGAUACUGCCACCGCAAGGUGUGAGGAAGGUGGGGAUGACGUCAAAUCAGCACGGCCCUUACGUCCGGGGCUACACACGUGUUACAAUGGCGCAUACAGAGAGUUGGUGGCAUGCGAGUGUCAUCUAAUCCUUAAAGUGCGUCUCAGUUCGGACUGGGGUCUGCAACCCGACCCCACGAAGCUGGAUUCGCUAGUAAUCGCGCAUCAGCCAUGGCGCGGUGAAUACGUUCCCGGGUCUUGUACACACC
This 434-nucleotide ribosomal RNA is filed under the name uncultured bacterium. Its description in RNAcentral is "bacterial SSU rRNA". It matches the Rfam family "Bacterial small subunit ribosomal RNA", at positions 957 to 1391 of the family's 1533-position model. The record is from RNAcentral.